ACACAAAAAAAUAUGGUAGAUUAAUUCUAUUUAAAUACAGUCCAUUUAAAAGUUGACCUGUUAUUGUCUCCUACAUUAGGAGGGACAUGGAGACUAUUAUCCAUUUUAGGGAUAGUUGUUUUUCUUGUCUUGGGUGAUGAACUUUAUUAUAUUUAUUAGUGUAUUAAAAAUUAUCUCUAAACUAACCAUCGGCCAAUCAUAAGGAAGUUCUAAAAUCCAUAAACUACCAAAGAUUUCAAUUAAUCCACUAAUAAAGGGUAUCCAUAUAAAGCAAAAUAUUCUUUGGUGGUGGUUUCAACAUCUGCUUUGUAAUUUACAGAAUUAUAAAUGUGUAUCAGGACUGAUUUAAUCACUUUCCACUGAUGAUCGUUUUGGUGGUUACUUAUGUGGGUAUCGAAUAAGCUGAGGUAAGUAAUUCUUAAGAACAAGUAUGUUGUCAAUAAAUUUUGAUUUGAUUAUUUUAAGCAGAUCAAUGACAGAACCAAUAAAUAAAUAUAUAUGUUAAUUUUGUUAAAAGGGUAAAGUAUUGCUCUACUACGAAUAUAUGUGGCUAGUCAAGAAAUAGAGAAGACUGUAGUUUUAUGACACAGGGGGAUAAAGAAUAUAUUGUCUGUUUGUCUAUGAAUUUUAAAGGCACUGAAUAUAAGAAAUAGUCAAUUAUUAUUCUUGGUCAGUUAAUUUUAUUAAGACAGAUUAAGAAAUAUCUAAAUUACAGUGAAAAUGAAAGGGUAGUACAAGGUCUAAUGAAGAUAAGUUACCAGUUAUUAACAUCUAGUCUGUUUUAUACUCUUCAGAAUGUAUGCCCCAAUCUGUUGUGAGCACUCUGCCAUGACCACAAACUCUACGGCUGUCUCUAAGGGUUGUGACAAAGAUUCCUAAUGGCUGUUCCCAAACUGAUUUAAGCACUCUUCCGUGUAGUGAUGAGCUCUAUGAUUGUGUCUAUGUGCUGUGAGCAUAGAGACCAACGUGAGUAUAGAAUGGAUUGGCCGAGGCUGGAGUGAGCAAUCUGUACUUUCUCCACUGGAGUGAUCACAUUCUCCACUGUUGCUUCUCUGGGUAGGGAGCAGGAGAAGAAUAAUGGACAAACUGAAGCUGGUUUGAGGAUUCUUCUACAGUCAUAAGAUGGUGGUCGCUGCUGUGUGUUUGGUGUAUAGAAGCCAAGAAUGGACACACAUGAACUUGUGUGCUUUGUUCAUGAUCUUCAUGAUUACGUCCUUGUUAGGUGCAUUAAGUCUGUGAAUGGAUACUCUGAGCAAUUUAAACAUUCUGCUUUGAUCAAGAUUAAGUUUCCUCUUGUAGAAAUGAAACCAAUAAUGGAUACACUGGGACCAGUAUUAUGUUGCCUCUGUGUUAAGCCAAUGAUGGACAUGUCCAAGCUGAUUUUAGCAUUAUUCUCUGGAUAUGAAGUCUACAGUUGACUCUGUAUGUUAGGAGUAUGAGGACCAAUAAGGAACACACCUGAACUGAUGAAAGCAUUCAUGACCUCCACAAUUGCCCAUAGCGCAGGUGCAUGAAGUCCAAUGGUAAAAUUCCAUUUGUAGAAGAAUCCCUCACCCAAGGGGUGUGUUAUACAACCUCAACAAUGUGCACAUUAGAAUGGACGUACUUGUGCUGUUUUAAGGAUUCCUCCAUGGUCAGGUCCCCUACACUGUGCUUCGAAAGGAGGAUGUAGACUAAUAAUGGAUGCUUUCAAGAUGAUUUACUCACUCUUCUAUGGUCACAAACUCUAUGGUUGCAUCUACAUGUUAGGAGCAUAAUGAGUCGUAAUGGAUGCAUCGAUCUAAUUUAAGAAUUUUGCCUUGAUCAAGACUUGUUUAUCAUUGUUACUGAACAGACUGAUGUAAUAGUCAAAGUUGUAGUGUGGUUUGGGUGGUUUGUUUAAGGGUAUUUACUAUAUUAUUAACAAAAUAUAAAAUAUAGUCAAAUAGGGCCAAAUGUAGUUCGGUAACAAAUGUGGAAGUAUUACAUAAAGCAUCUCUUGGAUUAAUAAAUAUGUGAA
Otolemur garnettii (small-eared galago) is the source of this 1999-nucleotide long non-coding RNA. RefSeq lists it as uncharacterized. The transcript is spliced from 13 exons. Lineage: Eukaryota; Metazoa; Chordata; Mammalia; Primates; Galagidae. The record is from RefSeq and is a predicted model, not a curated record.